AACGAACGCUGGCGGCAUGCCUAACACAUGCAAGUCGAACGAGCACACCGGGACUAGUGGCGCACGGGUGCGUAACCCGUCGGAACCUGCACUCAGGUAUGGAAUAACUCCCCGAAAGGGGUGCUAAUAGCGGAUAAUGUCUUAGGACCAAGGAUUUAUUGCCCGUGGUUGGGCCAGCGUUGGAUUAGCUAGUUGGUAUGGUAAAAGCCUACGAAGGCGACGAUCGAUACAUGGUCUGAGAGAAAGAUCACCCACACCGAGACUGAGACGCGGCCCGGAAUCCUACGGGAGGCGCCAGUGCGGGAUAUAGCACCGUGGCCGGAAUCCUGAACCAGCAAUGCCACGUAAAUGAUGAAGUCCUUAAGGUUGUAAAGUGCUUUUACCCAUGAUCAUAAUGACAGUACCGGGAGAGUAAGCUCCGGCUAACUCCGUG
RNAcentral lists this ribosomal RNA (433 nucleotides) under uncultured bacterium. RNAcentral describes it as "partial 16S ribosomal RNA". It matches the Rfam family "Bacterial small subunit ribosomal RNA", at positions 29 to 507 of the family's 1533-position model. The record is from RNAcentral.